GGAUGCCUAGGCAGUCAGAGGCGAUGAAGGACGUACUAACUUGCGAUAAGCGUANAUGAGGCAGUAAGAGCCACUUGAGUCUACGAUUUCCGAAUGGGGAAACCCAGCUGCAUAAGCAGUUAUCUCAAUGUGAAUUCAUAGCAUUGUGAGGCGAACCGGGGGAACUGAAACAUCUAAGUACCCCGAGGAAGAGAAAUCAACCGAGAUUCCGGCAGUAGCGGCGAGCGAAACCGGAUUAGCCCUUAAGCUAAUCUUGCGUUAGGUGAACAUGCUGGAAAGCAUGGCAAUAAAGGGUGAUAGCCCCGUAACCAACAACGCUNUAUCAGUGAAAUCGAGUAGGACGGGACACGUGUNAUCCUGUCUGAAUAUGCGGGGACCAUCCUNCAAGGCUAAAUACUCCUGACUGACCGAUAGUGAAC
This 419-nucleotide ribosomal RNA is filed under the name Photobacterium damselae subsp. piscicida. RNAcentral's name for it is "bacterial LSU rRNA". It matches the Rfam family "Bacterial large subunit ribosomal RNA", at positions 26 to 495 of the family's 2925-position model. The record is from RNAcentral. Lineage: Bacteria; Pseudomonadati; Pseudomonadota; Gammaproteobacteria; Vibrionales; Vibrionaceae.